UGAUCUUGGGGAUUUCCGAUCA
Molecule: non-coding RNA, 22 nt
Filed under: Rattus norvegicus (Norway rat)
Lineage: Eukaryota; Metazoa; Chordata; Mammalia; Rodentia; Muridae
Source: RNAcentral